GACGAACGCUGGCGGCGUGCUUAACACAUGCAAGUCGAACGGAAAGGCCCUGCUUUUGUGGGUUUCUCGUUUGCCGAACGGGUGAGUAACACGUGUGUAACCUGCCCUUGUCUUUGUGAUAUCUUCUGGAAACUCGGGCUCUUACCCGGUAGGAUCUCCUGCUGCAUGGUGUUGGUUGGUAAGUUUCGGCGGUUGGGGAUGGUCUCGCGGCUUAUCCGCUUGUUGGUGUGGUAGUGGCUUACCAAGGGUUUGACGGGUAGCCUGCCUGAGAGGGUUACCGGGGACAAGGGGACUGCGGGAGGGACCAGAAUGCAACGGGAGGCAGCAGGGGGGAAAAUUGCAGAAUGGGGGGAAGUCAGAUGCAGAAACGCCGCGAGCGGGAUGAUGGGUUAUGGGGGGUAAACAGAUGUGGAAGGAGACGAAGAGAGAGUGACGGUAAUGGGUAAAGAAGCACCGGCUAACUACGUG
This 468-nucleotide ribosomal RNA is filed under the name uncultured bacterium. RNAcentral describes it as "partial 16S ribosomal RNA". It matches the Rfam family "Bacterial small subunit ribosomal RNA", at positions 28 to 507 of the family's 1533-position model. The record is from RNAcentral.